UUAAAAACAAAUUAAUCUGACAUAUUAUAAAAAUUACAAAUAGUAGAUUUAAUAAAUUAGUCGUGAAAAAGUAGAAGUUAUAUUUUUUGUAAAUAGUUUGAAAAAGGAGUAAAAACUAGGGUUAGUGGCCUACUAUAACCUGAGUAAAUUUUUUAAGGUAUUAAAAGUUUUAGCUCUAAACCUAAAAAACAUGGCAGUAUUUUACCCCUUGCAGAGGAACUUGAAUAUUWAUUUAGAUACUCCCCCCUAUGUCUUACCUAAUUUUAUUUUAUGUGUGGUUGUUAAAAUAAGUAAAAAAUUAUAAAUUUUAAAUCAGAUGACAUGUAUAGAUAAUUAGGGUAAUUUUAGUUACAAUUAAAUAGAUUGAUAAUAAGAUAUCGGAUUUGCAAGUAUUAAAUUAAAAACAUAGGAAGAGGUUUUAAAAUGUGUCCAUAUUGUCCGUCGCUCUCAUAAAU
RNAcentral lists this ribosomal RNA (455 nucleotides) under Calanus sinicus. RNAcentral describes it as "partial small ribosomal RNA". The record is from RNAcentral. Lineage: Eukaryota; Metazoa; Arthropoda; Copepoda; Calanoida; Calanidae.